AUGAACGCUGGCGGCGUGCUUAACCCAUGCAAGUCGAACGAAGCACUUUAUUUGAUUUCCUUCGGGACUGAUUAUUUUGUGACUGAGUGGCGGACGGGUGAGUAACGCGUGGGUAACCUGCCUUGUACAGGGGGAUAACAGUUGGAAACGGCUGCUAAUACCGCAUAAGCGCACGGCAUCGCAUGAUGCAGCGUGAAAAACUCCGGUGGUAUAAGAUGGACCCGCGUUGGAUUAGCUAGUUGGUGAGGUAACGGCCCACCAAGGCGACGAUCCAUAGCCGACCUGGGAGGGUGACCGGCCACAUUGGGACUGAGACACGGCCCAAACUCCUACGGGAGGCAGCAGUGGGGAAUAUUGCACAAUGGGCGAAAGCCUGAUGCAGCGACGCCGCGUGAGCGAAGAAGUAUUUCGGUAUGUAAAGCUCUAUCAGCAGGGAAGAUAAUGACGGUACCUGACUAAGAAGCACCGGCUAAAUACGUG
Molecule: ribosomal RNA, 480 nt
Filed under: uncultured bacterium
Lineage: Bacteria
Description: partial 16S ribosomal RNA
Rfam family: Bacterial small subunit ribosomal RNA
Source: RNAcentral